Molecule: ribosomal RNA, 468 nt
Filed under: uncultured bacterium
Lineage: Bacteria
Description: partial 16S ribosomal RNA
Rfam family: Bacterial small subunit ribosomal RNA
Source: RNAcentral
GACGAACGCUGGCGGCGUGCUUAACACAUGCAAGUCGAACGGAAAGGCCCUGCUUUUGUGGGGUGCUCGAGUGGCGAACGGGUGAGUAACACGUGAGUAACCUGCCCUUGACUUUGGGAUAACUUCAGGAAACUGGGGCUAAUACCGGAUAGGAGCUCCUGCUGCAUGGUGGGGGUUGGAAAGUUUCGGCGGUUGGGGAUGGACUCGCGGCUUAUCAGCUUGUUGGUGGGGUAGUGGCUUACCAAGGCUUUGUCGGGUAGCCGGCCUGAGAGGGUGACCGGCCACAUUGGGACUGAGAUGCGGCCCAGACUCCUACGGGAGGCAGCAGUGGGGAAUAUUGCACAAUGGGCGGAAGCCUGAUGCAGCAACGCCGCUGGCGGGAUGACGGCCUUCGGGUUGUAAACCGCUUUCGCCUGUGACGAAGCGUGAGUGACGGUAAUGGGUAAAGAAGCACCGGCUAACUACGUG